Molecule: long non-coding RNA, 2666 nt
Organism: Oncorhynchus tshawytscha (Chinook salmon)
Lineage: Eukaryota; Metazoa; Chordata; Actinopteri; Salmoniformes; Salmonidae
Exons: 4
Source: RefSeq, a predicted model, not a curated record
AAAAAAUACACUGAAUUAUUAGUAUUAUUAUCAAAUUAUUAACAUCCCCUCUUGACCUGGCCGAUUUGAAUUGGUCCUUGUGUGCAAUUUGGUGCAUAAUAUAGGGGAACAACAUCACACUGCUACAUCUAUACAAAUCUAUCGACCACAUCCAUUUAAAGCAAUGAUUGUCAAUUGAACAUGUGGUUGUUGUGUUAUCCUGUUGUGCGCCUUGAAUGUCAGUCCUCAUAAUGAAUCUAAAUGGUAUUUUCUACAUACUUUAGUGUCAGCAGUCCAUCAGGCCAAUAGAUGGCGCUGUUGCACUGUUGUAGCAGGAGAAACAUUAAGUUCAGGCCAAGCGCUCACCAUUCUGCAGAAUAAGGACCAGAACUUUACAGAGGUAAACUGUGUCAGUUCUUUUACUAUUACAGCAGUUCAUCGUGGCCCUAUUGUUCGCCUCCUUCACCAAAGCUCUGUCAGGGACCUACAUGAAGAGUGCCAUCACUCAGAGAGACACUUUUUCCCUGUCCAGCUCUCUCAUCGGACUCAUAGACGGCAGCUUUGAGAUGGGUAACCUGCUGUUCCUGGCUGUGGUCAGCCAUUUUGGGGCGAAGCUGCACCGGCCCAGGCUCAUUGCUGUGGGCUGUUUCCUCAUGGCUGUUGGAUCCUUCCUCACACGCCUGCCAGACUUCUUCAUGGGACGGUAAAACAACUGAAAUACUGGUUAAACUUGUACUUUUAGAGAUACUCCAAUGCAGAGGAUAGUUUCACUUGAGAAAUAAAGAAAUGUAUCCAGUUGUUGAUUAAUCUCAGUUAACUUCGAACUAAAGUCUUGCGUAAUUGGUCAGCUGCUUGAUUAUGCUUUGGGGCCAUACAUGUUAAGAGAAGGGAUUAAGAGAUGCUAUAACUGUGACGUGGUAAAGUUGGACCCAGGUUCAGAGAAGAGACCAGAAGAUGAAGCAGUGGUUCCAACCAGUGUCUCCACUGCUCAAGGGCCCACUUAACUGCCAAAACCUCCCAGUUUCCUACAUCGUAGUUGCCUUCCGCUGGCGAGACCCGCUUGGAGAGAAAGGUGCAUGGGUGCAGUUUCUUGUCCUCCUUGUUCCACUGUGAAAGGACCACACCAGCUCCGGUGUCCGAGGCGUCCACCUCUACCACAAAGGGACGAGUAGGAUCAGGAUGAACGAGGAUGGGUCCGGAGGUGAAACGUCCCUUGAGCUCUAUGAAUGCCCUGUCAGUCUCGGGAUUCCUGCAAAAACCUGCUUGCGUGAGGUGGGACAGGGCUGUAUGUGUUCCAGAGGUGUUUUUGGAGAAGAUCAGGAUGUCGUCGAGGUGAACAAAGACGAACCGGUUCAACAUAUCCCUAAGAGUGUCAUUGAUCAAUGCCUGAAAGACUGCCGGUGAGUUCGAUAUUCCAAAGGUCAUGACUAAAUACUCAGUGACCACUAGGGGUGUUAAAGGACAUUUUCCUCUCAUCUCCCUGAUUCUCUCCAGAAUUUAAGCGUUGCAGAGGUCCAGUUUGGUGAAGAAUUGGGCUCCUAGGGCCAACUCCAAGGCGGUGGACAUCGGGUAGGGGGUAACGAUUCUUGAUCGUAAUCCUUUUCAGCCCUCUGUAAUCGAUGCAAGGACUGAGACAGAGAGACAAGGGAUGCGAUUAGACAUGCAGCCCAAUUAUGAUAUUUUUUCCACUAAUUGGUCUUUUGAACAAUCACAUUCAAUAUUUUCGUAUCAGCUCUUUUUCAGAGCAUAUCUGAUAGGUCAAAAUACCAAUUACUCAAAAAAAAAUGACUGAUUUGGGCUUCCUGUCUCAACGAAUCCAUAGAAACCUGGACAUGUUCCAACUGAAAUGUUCCAUCCUGUCAGUACUGAUGUUGAAUGCAAUUAAAUACACUUGUUUCGUUCUCUCCCAUCCCCUGUAGGUUUGCUGAACAUGAGUGGAAAUAAAUCUUUUCCAGGUGAGUUGAACCUGCCUGUGGGUGCAGUGGGGAUAUUCCUGGGAGGUCUACUGAUGAAGAGGUAUAAGCUUGGCGUUGUGUCGAGCCCAGAUGUCUUUCGUCAUCUCCUUCAUGGCCUACCUCCUCCUCCCUCUGUAGUCUGGCACUAAGUGUGACAACGUUCAGGUGGCUGGUCUGACCCUGUCCUACAACGGAGUGAUCUUCCUUGGCCUCAUCACAUGUCUCAGUGGCUUCUCCUUAGGAGGGAUGGGGACACCACCAUGGGACAGACCCCACAAUCAUCGCUUGAGAUCGAACUUCAGACUCCCUCCAAAACCACUGAACCCCUCAACACAACGAAAGAGAUUACGGUGCACACCCUUAGAGGGAGCCGGAACAGGAUAACUCCCUCCAAACUCACAAAGACACAGAGGAGGAGGAACUAUCCAACACCCAGGGAGAGAGAACAAGUGACCUCAGUCGAACACAGCCAGAAAGAGGAGGUGGAAGAGGUGUUAGAUAGAGGAUGUGAGCAAGAAAGAGCAGAAGGCUUCUGAUCAGCCAAAUGGCAGGUAGAGGGAGAGGUCAUAGUGAUUCACACCCACAGAGAGAAAGACAACCCACACAACCUCUUGGUUGAGAUGAACCGCACAGAGUUAGAGGCAGAGGGCUUUCAGCGCUAGCCAGUCAGCCUGCCUGCUCUGAUCCUCAAGUCAAUUGUAUUUAAAUUCAUGUUCAUUAAAGAUUUUUAUU